Drosophila miranda is the source of this 2018-nucleotide long non-coding RNA. RefSeq lists it as uncharacterized. The transcript is spliced from 2 exons. The record is from RefSeq and is a predicted model, not a curated record. NCBI's taxonomy places the organism in Eukaryota, Metazoa, Arthropoda, Insecta, Diptera, Drosophilidae.
UAUUCUGCCCAUUCUUCUUUUGCUUCGUUUUUGCAAACGUCAACGUCAGUUCAGUUGGCAAUGUGCCCAGACGACGCGCACGACAUCAGCGAAACGAAACGAAACGAAACGAAAUGAAACGAAACAAGUUUUUCUGCUGCGGCGCUGCUGCUGCGCAUACGUCACAAUCAUAAGGCAGAGGCAGAGACAGCGGCAGAGGCAGUGUCAGCGAUAGUGGCGGUUUGCAUGCAACCAAGUGAGAGAGUGCGAGGGAGAGCGCGGCAAAUUGCAGUUGCUGGUCCGAGCCGGUUCGUCUUUCGGCUCCUUUUCGUUUUCUUUUUUGCAUGCAUGCCAUGCAAUACUGUGUAUGUAUACCAGUCACACGCACUCACACAGACCCAUACCCUUUGCACAAAGUAUGAUGAUUUUUGCCACAUGUUUGUAGCGCAUAUGUAAUUCUUGGUCUGGAUCAUCAUGUCAUAUGUAAAUAGUAUAUAUAUUUACAUACAUAAGUAUAUAUGUUUGUAUUUAUGUGUAGCUACCAUAGAAGCGAAGGUUCAGCAAGGGUAUCAAACGACGAGCCCCAAAGUUAGUCGUCUCUCAGUCUUCAGUCUUCUUCAAGUUUUGUUGUGACUGUGCUUUGGGUUUUCGUUUUUCGUUUUUCGUCACGUCAUGACAUGACGACGAAGCGUGCAAGUUUUAACAGGCCCCUGCCCUGCUGCUGCCACAUCUCUGGUGCCUGCUUGUUGGCGGCGCUGUUAAGCUCUGCUCUAGCCGCCUCUUUUCGUAUGCCUUGCACGCGCACGCGUAGCCACAAUUUACUUUUGCUGCUGCUGCUGCUGUUGCUUGAUAUUGAAAAAAAAAGAAGGCAGAGACGGCAGCAGCGCUCUUUAAUUUGUAUGCCCAACGGGCACGAGCACAUUGCUCAAAUGUCGACGACGCUGUCAGUUGGAGCCGCCUGGCCGGCAGCCGCACAGUGGGCUGCAUACGAAAUGGCCAGCGAAAUGGCCACUCGCAGCAUUGCGAGUGCUGUUAUAAUUAUUUAUUUGAAGAAAUCAACGAAGAAACAUAAAAAGCUGUUGCUCUAUGGCUAAACUGCUUACGCGGCAGCGGCUGCUACAUGGCUACAGCAAUUGGCAGGGGAGAGACAGACGUCGUCGACAUGGCCAAUUUCGGGGUGUCGCCCAUUGUCGUCGUGCAUGUUGUGUGGCCCCAACAUGUACGCACCAGCACAUAGCAGAUCGUGUGUGUGCGUUUGUGUGUAUAUUUAUAGAAUUUGUUUAUAUUUUGCAUGCGAGAGAGUGAAAAGGCAACAACUGCAGCCAUAAAUGCCAGCGAGAGCAAUGCAACGGAGCUUCCUAUCUCGCUCAAAUCCAUCUCUUUCGCACGCACGCACGCAGCUACAAACUCCUUGCAAGGCAGAAUGGAGAGAAUGCAGAGAAUGGAAAAGAAGAGAGCAGAGAAGAGAAGAAUAGCACAACAGCACAUGGCCCAUUGAGAAGAAGAAUGUGCAGACAGUGGAGUGCACGCCCGAGAGGGACAACAUGCCUGCGCAUGUUACAUACAGUUUCGAGAAUGAAGCCGGGCCGGGCCGGGCCGACCGGCGGCACAGUGGGCCGCAUCCAAUUGGAAUGCAAUGUUUGGAUAAAAAGCACGUUUCACUUUCGACCGCGUCUGGUUGUGUCUCAUCUAUUUCUAUCAUGAACGUAUAUUCGUUUUAGUUUUCUACUCGAACCAACACACACACACACACACACACACACACAUUUUGCCUGCCUAUGGAACCAUAUUCCCGCGAUCGACAAAUUCGCACUACACCCCAGCAGCCCCAGCAAUGAUUCACAAUUUACACUUGGACUACGGAUUAUGGAUUACAGAUGCAGAUACAGUUAUGGGGGAGAAUCGGGGCCACACAUCAUAAACAAAAUUCAAUAUUUAUACAUAUUCGUAUGGGAAUAAAAAGAAACCGUAUUGUGUAUACUCUGUUAAGUAUGUAUUGUAUGUAAAAGAAAUAAACUAUAUGCCAUUGUAUGAAUGAA